GCUUUAAAUUCAAAGAAUUUGGCGGUAUUUUAGUCUUGUUAGAGGAACCUGUUUUCUAAAUGAUACUACACGAAAAAUCUUACUUACUUUUGUUUGCUUGUAUACCGUCAUUAUUAGAUAACUUUUACUGAUUAAGUUAUUAAAAUUGAGGGCUUAAAUAUAUUAGAUCAAGGUGCAGCUGAUAUGUAAGUAAAAAUGGGUUACAAUAAAAUUUAUUUAACGGAUUAGAAAUUGAAAAACCCUAUGAAGGAGGAUUUAAUUGUAAUAAAUGUUUAGUAAGGGCUUAUGAUAUUAGAACUAAAUUAUGUACAUAUCGCCCGUCGCU
This 325-nucleotide ribosomal RNA is filed under the name Ombrastacoides huonensis. RNAcentral describes it as "partial 12S ribosomal RNA". Lineage: Eukaryota; Metazoa; Arthropoda; Malacostraca; Decapoda; Parastacidae. The record is from RNAcentral.